AGCAGCCGCGGUAAUUCCAGCUCCAAUAGCGUAUAUUAAAGUUGUUGCAGUUAAAAAGCUCGUAGUUGAAUUUCGGGAUCAGUUGGUCGGUCGUGCCUCGGUACGUACUGGUCAAAUUGAUUCCUACCUUCUGACGAACCACGAUGUCAUUAAUUUGGUGUCGCGGGAAAUCAGGACUGUUACUUUGAAAAAAUUAGAGUGUUUAAAGCAAGCUCGCGCUUGAAUACAUUAGCAUGGAAUAAUGAAAUAGGACGUUUGAUUCUAUUUUGUUGGUUUCUAGGAUCGACGUAAUGAUUAAUAGGGAUAGUUGGGGGCAUUAGUAUUCAAUUGUCAGAGGUGAAAUUCUUGGAUUUAUUGAAGACUAACUACUGCGAAAGCAUUUGCCAAGGAUGUUUUCAUUAAUCAAGAACGAAAGUUAGGGGAUCGAAGACGAUCAGAUACCGUCGUAGUCUUAACCAUAAACUAUGCCGACUAGGGAUCGGAUGAUGUUAAUUUUUUAAUGACUCAUUCGGCGCCUUAC
Molecule: ribosomal RNA, 520 nt
Filed under: uncultured Glomus
Lineage: Eukaryota; Fungi; Glomeromycota; Glomeromycetes; Glomerales; Glomeraceae
Description: SSU rRNA
Rfam family: Eukaryotic small subunit ribosomal RNA
Source: RNAcentral